This 662-nucleotide long non-coding RNA is filed under the name Medicago truncatula (barrel medic). RNAcentral describes it as "lncRNA gene50676". The record is from RNAcentral. Lineage: Eukaryota; Viridiplantae; Streptophyta; Magnoliopsida; Fabales; Fabaceae.
AUAGAAUCAAAAGUAGUGAAAAGUAACACAUUACACAAAAGUUGAAAACUGAGCCAAGAAGAAUGGAUACUGUUUCAAUGGAACCAACGCCAGCUUAUAAAGCACCCUAUUUCCGACACCGAAUACACCAACAGCCGCCGCAGCAACCACCACCUUCACCGUCUGAUUCUCACUUUUCCGACAAUUAUCCUCCACAAUCCUCUUCUUCUCAUCCUCCUCACUGACAUCCGAUCUCUCCCUUGCGCCACUCGCUUCUACCACCGGAAUCCACGUACGUCGCCGUAGCUGUAAAACGGAGAUUCCCUGGCGUUGAGGUGAAUAGCCGUAGUGGAUUCCGGCGGUGGAGUUUGUUGGUUGGAGUAGGCGGACUUGACCGUAGAGGGAGACGGUGCCGGCGGUAGGUGACCGCCGGCAGAAUGACGUCAUAGGGUGGUGAAGAGUGCGGAAAUUUACAAUUUGUAUGUUUAGAGAGAUUUGGGUGAUGAUAGUUGAGUUGAGUGUGUCUCACAUGGUGAAAGCGAAGACACUUAAAUAAAAAUGGAAAAUAAAAAUGUUAUGUUCCAAAAUAAAAGAAUUUAAUAGUGUGAGUGAGUGUGUGACAACUUGACAAAAAGGUGGAUUCUGACUUUUUUUAUGGCAAAUAAAUUCCCAUUCAAAAACAC